This is a long non-coding RNA of Ictalurus punctatus (channel catfish), 602 nucleotides long. The record is from Ensembl. NCBI's taxonomy places the organism in Eukaryota, Metazoa, Chordata, Actinopteri, Siluriformes, Ictaluridae.
CACACACACAUUCUCUAUCUCGCCCUCUCUCACACACGCACACAAACACACACUCUCUCUCACUCUCUCUCUCUCUCUCUCUCUCACACACACACACACACAAAGGCAGGCAGGUUUUGACUUCCCCUUUAUCGCUGGGACCAUGCAAGAAGAUCAAUUAUGGUCACAUGACUGCACCACCUGACCUGCUCAAUUCAGAAUCUAAUCAAUCAAUGUAGCAACAGAAGCUCUUUAUUUGAUCUCUGUUUGCUUUAAUGUUCCUUUAAUUUGUUACACAGCAAACAGGGAUUCUGAAAUCAUCCGGGAUAGAUGCCAGCAGUAAAUCCGGUCUCCUGAACAUGUUCUUCAGGAUCUUCAACAGCUCAAUCUGCAGCUGGGUAUUUGUGAUCGUCUUCCUCGUCUUCCUCAUCUUAAUAAAGGCUUCCUACAAAAAAAAGUGAAAGAAGAAUGCGUUCCAAUCAUCAUUAGAUCUUUACUUGUGUGUGUGUGUGUAAUAUCCUGCACAACUGAAUGGCUUCAUUCUCCUGUAGUUAUUACUCCUGAAGUUAUUACCUGGUUUGACUGGUCACCUGAAGUAAAUAGAUUUAAACCAUCCCAUCCAU